AUUGAACGCUGGCGGCAGGCUUAACACAUGCAAGUCGAGCGGGGUGAUGGUGCUUGCACUAUCACUUAGCGGCGGACGGGUGAGUAAUGCUUAGGAAUCUGCCUAUUGGUGGGGGACAACAUCUCGAAAGGGAUGCUAAUACCGCAUACGUCCUACGGGAGAAAGCAGGGGCUCACUUGUGACCUUGCGCUAAUAGAUGAGCCUAAGUCGGAUUAGCUAGUUGGUGGGGUAAAGGCCUACCAAGGCGACGAUCUGUAGCGGGUCUGAGAGGAUGCUCCGCCACACUGGGACUGAGACACGGCCCAGACUCCUACGGGAGGCAGCAGUGGGGAAUAUUGGACAAUGGGGGGAACCCUGAUCCAGCCAUGCCGCGUGUGUGAAGAAGGCCUUAUGGUUGUAAAGCACUUUAAGCGAGGAGGAGGCUCUUUUGGUUAAUACCCAAGAUGAGUGGACGUUACUCGCAGAAUAAGCACCGGCUAACUCUGUGCCAGCCGCCGCUGUAA
Molecule: ribosomal RNA, 503 nt
Filed under: uncultured bacterium
Lineage: Bacteria
Description: partial 16S ribosomal RNA
Rfam family: Bacterial small subunit ribosomal RNA
Source: RNAcentral